Malania oleifera is the source of this 3629-nucleotide RNA transcript. It is a transcript of the gene named G-type lectin S-receptor-like serine/threonine-protein kinase SD2-5, with no coding region annotated. The transcript is spliced from 2 exons. The record is from RefSeq and is a predicted model, not a curated record. Lineage: Eukaryota; Viridiplantae; Streptophyta; Magnoliopsida; Santalales; Ximeniaceae.
CUUAUUUUAUUUUUUUAUAAAAAUAUAUAUUAAAUAAUAUCAUUUUUGAUAAUAAUUGUCAAAAUGACACCUGAGAAUUAUUUUCUCAAAAAAAGACAUUGUUUAAUAUAUUUUUUUAAAAAAUAGAUAAAAUGGAAAAAAACUCUCAAGAAACCUCCCGAAACCUUCUCCACUCUUUGAUUCAAACUUCAUAUGCACGCCCGUCAGCUGGUCCAAGGAGAGACUGGUCGCCUGUGUACGACUCGAACGCGAUGCUGCUGUCCACAAUCUCCGAUUGGGACCUUCCCCUCUGCCAGCAGGGAUGCAAAGACGCAUACGGUGGCUAGGGCUCACUGCAGCGGCAAAGACUCAAGGCGGAGAGGGAUUUGCUACAGUGGGAUUCGACGAGGACGGUGGAAGAAGGCUUACGGUCGCUAGGGCUCACGGCAGCGGCGGCGGCCCACGACAGAAACGAACGGUGCCAGGGAUCACGCAGGCGGAGCAACAAAUGGUGCCGGGAGAGAGGAAAAACAAGUCUAUGCAAAUCCCAUCCAAAUCUCGCUUGACCAUCCAUCAGGAGAUUAGGUAAGUCUUAAAAUGGGAACUAUUUUGCGUAUUUAAUAUUUUAUUAAAUAAGAAAAAACUCUAGUUUGUAUUAUUAUUAUUAUUAUUAUUAUUUUUGGAGUACGUACCGGGUAUCCACGCAUCUGUUUUACGGUCCACGUCACUAAUCCUGCGCCCCCUUGAAGUUGACCUCAUAAAUCCAAAGGGAGGGUAAAUUCAGGAGUCCAAGAGCGGAAACGAGCCGAGAAGGGUUUGAACACCUGAUCUCGUGAAAGGCACUCCCGCAAUCCGUACUACCACUUCAACCACAGGAUAGUUUCUACUAUUAUUAUUAUUUUUUUGGGUAAUGUCGGGUAUCCACAGCCGUCAACGCGCGUCCGUUUUACGAUCCGCACGCACCGGCAUGUGACUAAUCCCACGCCCUGUAGCAGGAGCCCCACCCACCACAGAGAAGUAAUUCAGGCGCCCGCCGCAGGAAUCGAACCCAGAAUGCCAGGAUUAGGCUCACCUCGUGAAAGGAAAUCCCGAAGUCCGCCUUGCCAACUGAGCUCAGCCCUGGGGGCAUAGUAUCUACUAUUAUUGUACAUACGCGUACGUGAAUGAAGACAAAAGAAGUUAUUAACUAGGCUUGACUUGUCUCUCUGCUCCCUCUCUCAUCGAAGUCAUAAAAAAUAUAUUCACUGAUUCUACAAGAAAAAAGGGGAAGGAGCUGGUUAUUUUAUUAUUUUUUAAGAAGUCCCUGCGGGCAACCGGUCAAGAAAGUGGACAAGAAAGAUUACACUGCAUACAUGAAUACAAAAGUGUGAAAAAGUAAGUUCAAGUAAUGCCUAUUCUGACAAAGAAAGAAUUGGAAACCUGAAAGAGAUCAUGGCCUGCUUUAUGAUCGGAUUAUUUUCAGUUCUCCGCAUUUUUCCCAGUGUUUGCUUUGCCGUACCUUAUGUUACAGUCCCUCCUUCUCCAGUUCCACACACUUCUCCAGUUACAGUCUUUUCUCGAGGUAGUACUUCUCCAGUUCCACAUACUUCUCCAGUUACAGUCAUUUCUCGAGGUAACACUUCUCCAGUUCCAGACACUUCUCCAGUUACAGUCAUUUCUCCAGUUUCGGUCACUCCUUCAGUGUCAGUGGCUAGCCCUGUGCCAGUAGAAGGACCUGCAAAAGAUAUUUUACCAGCUUCACCACAUUCAGGCAAUAAAAUAAAUUUGGUGGCAAUAAUAGCAGGGUCUUCUUCUGCUGCUGUUGUCAUUAUUUGUCUUGCAAUUAUGUUACUAGUGACAUUGCAGAAGAGGAAUAAAAGGGAUGUGCCGGACGAUUACAAGCAAGUCCCUGGAAUUCCAAAGAGGUUUUCAUAUGAAGAUCUACGCAUUGCAACGGAGAAUUUCAAGGAAAAACUUGGUGGCGGAGGAUUUGGGUCUGUGUUCAAAGGAGUGCUAGGAGAUGGCACAAGGAUUGCAGUGAAGCGAUUGGAUAAAAUGGGCCAAGGAAUGAGAGAGUUCUUAGCAGAAGUGGAAACGAUAGGAAGCAUACACCAUUUUAAUCUUGUCCGGUUGAUCGGAUUUUGUGCAGAGAAGUCUUGCAGGCUUUUAGUGUAUGAAUACAUGUGUUAUGGUUCAUUGGAUAACUGGAUUUUCUGCAAUGACCAGAAACCAUGCUUGGAUUGGCAAAUGAGGAAGAAGAUUAUUCUAGACAUCGCCAAAGGGCUGGCUUAUCUACACGAAGAGUGCCGACAAAGAAUAGUUCAUCUUGAUAUAAAGCCACAAAACAUUCUCUUGGAUGAAAAUUUCAAUGCCAAGAUAUCUGAUUUUGGGUUGUCUAGGCUAAUGGACAGGGAUGAGAGCCAAGUCCAGACCAAUAUGAGGGGAACACCAGGGUACCUUGCUCCAGAGUGGUGUCAACUAAGAAUCACAGUGAAAGUGGACAUCUAUAGCUUUGGAAUUGUUCUCCUUGAGGUGGUCUGCGGAAGAAGAAAUUUGGAUCGAUCUCGGUCUGAAUCUGACAAACAUCUAUUGAGAUUGCUGCAGAAAAAGGCCGAGGAGAACCAACUUAUAGAUAUCGUUGAGAAUUUGGAUGAAGAAAUGCAAAUUUAUGAAGAAGAAAUCUUGAGGAUGAUAAGGAUUGGAGCUUGGUGUUUACAGGAUGAUCAUGCAAGAAGGCCUCUUAUGUCGACGGUAGUGAAGGUUUUGGAUGGAGUAAUGGAGGUAGACCCAAGCAUCAUAUACAAGUUUAGCCAUGCAAUGUCAACUCCUCCUGUUUCCAAUGACCAUGCUCUCACAGUACCACAAGCAUCUGUUCUUUCUGCCCCUAGAUGAAAGCGUGAUUUCUAUGUUGAGGAAAUUAGUACUUUGCACUGCUGAAGUGUCUUUAUGGAUGGAAUUGAAGUGUCUUCUGGGUGGAAUUGAUUUCUUCAUAGCAUUUUCUGCCGCUGCUCUCUGUGGUUCUCUUGGCAGAGCUUCCUUCAAUCGAGGACUCAUCCAUGCUGCGAUGAAGCUGUGCAAGGAAUCGAUCCCUGGAAUGGAGAUUGAGUACAUAGACGUAGCGCCGCUGCCGAUGCUCAACACCAAUCUGGAGAUCGACGGCAGCUACGACAUUCUAGAGAAGAGGCAGACUCUUCCGGUUUGGCACCAGAAAGAUGAGUUCUUGCAGGCUUUGAAGGCCAAUCAGUCCCUCAUCUUGUUCAACGAAACUGGUAGUGGUAAAACAACUCUGAUCCCUCAGUUUGUUUUGGAAGUUAUUGAUAUAGAUACGCCAGACAAACGGAAGGAGAUGAUGAUUGCCUGCACUCAGCCUCGUAGAGUGGCUGCAAUGUCUGUAUCAUGUCGAGUUGCUGAAGAGAUGGAUGUAAAUAUUGGGGAAGUUGGAUACAGCAUUGUUAAUAUUACUUGGAACCUGACCUUCCGGCUACUUCUCCAGCUCCAGCUCCGGUGUCCUUAUUAUCUUAAAUUUUUUUUCAUUUCUUUCUUCAAUCUUUCUGUUUCUUUUUCACUUCAAUGGUGAAACCUGAGUUUUCUGUGCAUUCUGCUUCUAUUGCAAAUGCAUAGUUCUUAAAAUUUUAUUCAUUUCUUUCUUCAAGUUUUCAUUACUUGGAAAA